This 670-nucleotide unclassified non-coding RNA is filed under the name Zygosaccharomyces sp. NBRC 10668. RNAcentral's name for it is "sequence contains ITS1, 5.8S rRNA gene and ITS2". The stretch from base 244 to 397 matches the Rfam family "5.8S ribosomal RNA". The record is from RNAcentral. Lineage: Eukaryota; Fungi; Ascomycota; Saccharomycetes; Saccharomycetales; Saccharomycetaceae.
CUGCGGAAGGAUCAUUAUAGAAAAUGACGUGAACUCUUAACGGAGUUCUCUCAAAGUGUUGGAGGGGAAGGCCUGCGCUUAAUUGCGCGGCUGUUUUUAAUCUCCUCCGCCUUUGAUACACACAUUGGAGUUUCUACUUUUUUGUUCUCUUUGGGAGGGUUCUGCUCUCCCAGAGGUAAACACAAACAAUCUUUUAUUAUACUAUUAACACAGUCAAAUGAAUUUUAAAAACAAAAUAUUCAAAACUUUCAACAACGGAUCUCUUGGUUCUCGCAUCGAUGAAGAACGCAGCGAACUGCGAUACGUAAUGUGAAUUGCAGAAUUCCGUGAAUCAUCGAAUCUUUGAACGCACAUUGCGCCCCUUGGUAUUCCGGGGGGCAUGCCUGUUUGAGCGUCAUUUCCCUCUCAAACUUUACGUUUGGUAGUGAGCGAUACUCUACUCUGGAGUUUGCUUGAAAAUGGGAGGCCAUAGGCGGAGCUUAGUUUGCGACUGUGCCGAGAGGCAUGGGAGCGGCCUAGCCACGAAAAGUCGUAUUAGGUUUUACCGACUCGGCGGAAUAGUGGAGAGGUUUCUUUUUUUUUUAUUCUAAGGUAAGCCGUCUGGCUAGACAAAAUUCUCAAAGUUUGACCUCAAAUCAGGUAGGAUUACCCGCUGAACUUAAGCAUAUCA